AUGGGUCCCUAUUGGUUUCUAUGUGUCCCCAUUGGUUUCUAUGGGUCCCUAUGGGGUUGCAGUACCUCCUCCCGCCCACAGGGGGGCGCUGUUUGUGCUCCCCCAUUGGUUUCUAUGGGUCCCCAUUGGUUUCUAUGGGUCCCUAUGGCCCCCCAUAUUAACCCCCCCAUACUAUACCCCAGGCUCUCUGUCCGUGCUGGAUUGCGGCCUAUUUCCGGGUCUCCCGUUCCCGUCGCUCCCCACCGAGGUCAAUCUCUUCCUGUUACCCCCGAUGGAACCGGAAGCUGACGACGCCCCCCCACGGACAGGUAAACAGCCCCGGUGCCGACAUGUUGCCGUAUACCGGAAGUGGGGGUCUACCGGAAGUGGCGUGUACUUCCGGUGGUGACCUGUUCCCAUAUACCGGAAGUGGGUGGUCUACAGGAAGUGGGUUCUACCGGAAGUGGGUUCUACCGGAAGUGGGGUGUAUUUCCGGCGAUGGCGUAUUCCAAAAUCCGGAAGUGGGUCGUACUUCUGGUGGCUACAUGCUCUCAUAUGCCGGAAGUGGGAGGGGGGGUCUCCCGGAAGUGGGUGGUCUACCGGAAGUGGGUUGUCUCCCGGAAGCGGGUUAUACCGGAAGUGGGUUGUCUCCCGGAAAUGGGUGGUCUCCCAAAAGUUGGUGGUCUCCCGGAAGUGGGUUGUACCGGAAGUGGGUUGUACCGGAAGUGACUCUCCCGGAAGUGGCCCGUACUUCCGGCGAGGGCCUAUUCCGGAACCCGGAAGUGAUGUAUACCGGAAGUAUAUCUCCCGUAAGUGGUUGUUACUUCCGGCGGCAAUGCCGUGUUUCCGGUUGCAGGUGGGGGCGGCCCGCUGUUCCCGUUACUUCCCCCUUAUCGCGGUCACGGCUCGUUCGGGAACUUGGUGGGAAGGUUGAGGGGGAGAAUCAUGGCGGCCAACAGGGCCCAGCUGUCACACUCCAUGCUCACUGAGAGGAACUGGUAAUGGGGCCAAUUAUAUGGGGUUAUAUGGGGUUAUAUGGGGUAUAUGGGGUUAUAUGGGAUAUAUGGGGGGAUAUAUGGGGUUAUAUGGGGUUAUAUGGGGGGAUAUGGGGGGAUAUGGGGUUAUAUGGGGUUAUAUGGGGUUAUAUGGGGGGAUAUGGGGUUAUAUGGGGGACUAGACCCCAUGAUAACCCGCAUAUGAGUAUCCCCCCAUUAUAACCCAAUAAUAACGGCCGCAUAUAACCCCAUAUAGGAACCCGCAAU
This 1241-nucleotide long non-coding RNA is filed under the name Coturnix japonica (Japanese quail). Its description in RNAcentral is "lncRNA (ENSCJPG00005002831.1)". Lineage: Eukaryota; Metazoa; Chordata; Aves; Galliformes; Phasianidae. The record is from RNAcentral.